Cyprinus carpio (common carp) is the source of this 1051-nucleotide long non-coding RNA. NCBI's taxonomy places the organism in Eukaryota, Metazoa, Chordata, Actinopteri, Cypriniformes, Cyprinidae. The record is from Ensembl.
GAAAAUGAAACUCAUACAGGUCCGGAACAACUUCAGGGUGAGUAAAUAAUUGCAGUUUUCAUUUUUGGGUGAACUGUCCCUUUAAUUUGGAAUAUUUUAGUUUGUUGGUCCUUAUAAAAGACAACAAGCUUGCAAUCCACUUGCUACAAUGAUAUAAUCCAGGCAUUUCAAGGUUUUUUUUUAACAUCACGGGAUGUUUUUAUGAAGCAGUAACUUUCAAUUGCCAUUUCUUGUGUAAUAAUAACACUUGUUAGAUUUGUGCUGGUCAGUCUAAGUCUGAGCACUGAAACAUAUACAACUAACCUAUUCAAUAAACUCUGCUCUUUUUUCAUCAUCACUUCAUCUCCUGCUUCUGCUCAUCACUGGCUUUACUCAGUCAACUUCUUGUGUAAGACUGUUAAUACAGUUUUGGGUACCAGAUAAGACUUGCUGUUAACAGGUUUUGGAUAUUAGACAACUUUGCUGACUAGUUGCUCUGUUACCAGACAAAACAGAUAUUUGCUGACAGGAUCUGGCAUCCGGGCCUGGAUCUGAUCAUUCUGGUGUGGAGGUAUGAUCUAACACAAUCCUACUUGAGGAUGUGAAGAUGAAGAGAGCACAAGUCAGAGAAAAGAAGAUAAAUGAAGAAGAAGAGAAAAGGUGGGACAAAGCAGAGCCUUUUGAAGAAAUAAAAGCAGAUACUGAGUUACCGGAGGAGUACUAUCAUGGGCUUGAGGAUUUACCCUGGAACCUGAACUUACUGGAGCAUUUACUGUAUAUCAGCAUGCCAGCUUGGAUACAAAGAGCUCUGCUUUGUAACUUAAUUGAGCGGUUUGGCAUCUGGACCUUUCACAACAACAUCCUGCCGUGUCGUCUCAUUUCCUACACCCUACUGCCGUACACUCUGCCUGCUUCAGCUGUCAUCUCAUUCAUCUAUAGGUUUUUAUGCUGGGUGGAGAAAAUUCCCCACCAGGCUCUGAAUGCAGGCAGGGAAUUCAAACAGGAAGUGAUGGCACAUCUGUGGUUAGUCUUUACACACUUGAGAGGACUUUUGCCAAACAGAUUCCUGCUU